Molecule: ribosomal RNA, 468 nt
Filed under: uncultured bacterium
Lineage: Bacteria
Description: partial 16S ribosomal RNA
Rfam family: Bacterial small subunit ribosomal RNA
Source: RNAcentral
GACGAACGCUGGCGGCGUGCUUAACACAUGCAAGUCGAACGGAAAGGCCCUGCUUUUGUGGGGUGCUCGAGUGGCGAACGGGUGAGUAACACGUGAGUAACCUGCCCUUGACUUUGGGAUAACUUCAGGAAACUGGGGCUAAUACCGGAUAGGAGCUCCUGCUGCAUGGUGGGGGCUGGAAAGUUUCGGCGGUUGGGGAUGGACUCGCGGCUUAUCAGCUUGUUGGUGGGGUAGUGGCUUACCAAGGCUUUGACGGGUAGCCGGCCUGAGAGGGUGACCGGCCACAUUGGGACUGAGAUACGGCCCAGACUCCUACGGGAGGCAGCAGUGGGGAAUAUUGCACAAUGGGCGGAAGCCUGAUGCAGCAACGCCGCGUGCGGGAUGACUGCCUUCGGGUUGUAAACCGCUUUCGCCUGUGACGAAGCGUGAGUGACGGUAAUGGGUAAAGAAGCACCGGCUAACUACGUG